Long non-coding RNA from Mytilus trossulus (common blue mussel), 337 nucleotides. RefSeq lists it as uncharacterized. The record is from RefSeq and is a predicted model, not a curated record. The transcript is spliced from 3 exons. NCBI's taxonomy places the organism in Eukaryota, Metazoa, Mollusca, Bivalvia, Mytilida, Mytilidae.
AUUGAAACUGGGACUAGAUUUGUUAUUUUUCAGCACAAACAAAAUGUUAUUUAUAUACUCUUUUUUUAGGUCUAAAAAGUAGUGAACGCUGAAGAAAAGAGUACAGAAACAUAAAAACAAUAAUGUCCUGUUAGAUAUAUACAUGUGGCCUACAUAGAUCUGUUAUAUAGAAAGGAGGAAAGUGAUUCAGUCCCUGUGAUCAUUGUCCAGUCAAUGUGAUCAUUGUCCAGUCCAUUUAAUCCUUGCCCAGUUGAGUUGCUAGUAUAGUAUUUAUUUGAUCCCUGUCCAGUCAAGUUGAUCCUUGUCCAGUCGAUUUGAUCCUUGUCCAGUCAAGUUG